CUAAGGAUGAUCCUUCAGUUCAGCUCACGCUGACUAUCGGAUCUUUUUAGAAGCAUCAGGGGCCAAUCGAUCGCCAGAUCAUUGAGCUCCAUUGGCGGGAUUUCGCCGUCUUCGUUUCUCUUUCUUCGCGGACGAACACGCGCCAGGGGCUACAGCGCUGCGCGAUGCAUCGGCGCGAGCCGGUUGCGCGCGAGCAUGCCUCUGAUCCUCAACUGAGGACAGCGUUAGGGGCUUGUAGCUCAGUUGGUUAGAGCGCGCGCUUGAUAAGCGUGAGGUCGGAAGUUCAAGUCUUCCCAGGCCCACCACUUUGAUCGAGUGCGAGGCAUUCGUCUUCUGGUUACGGGGCCAUAGCUCAGCUGGGAGAGCGCGUGCUUUGCAAGCAUGAGGUCGUCGGUUCGAUCCCGUCUGGCUCCACCAGAUGAAAUCGAAGAUCGAGAGUGCCUCGAAUAAUCGUCCGCGAAACAUCAAUUCGCAUGCGUGAUCCUCACCAGGAUGCGUCAUGCGUGUUUUCUGACAUCGUAAAGAGGAGAUCGAUCCGAGUUUGGAUCAAGCGAAGUAAUUCGCCUGACCCAAUCACUAUCUCCGGGAUCAUUUCGGCGCUCGCUUCAGUCGUGAGAUUGAAUGCGGGUUGUAAAUGGUCCUUGUUAGCGAAGCCUGACCGCCUCGCUAUCGGUUCGAUCUUACGAAGCAAGCUGGUCUUUCUAGUCAAUGUCCGGCUGCGACAAUCGCAUUCGUCGAGGGUGCGCGCCUUGAGUGGCAGUUGCGCAGACAACAUUCUGCCGAGUGUGUGGACAUUGAUAAUGAGAGC
This 808-nucleotide transfer RNA is filed under the name Bradyrhizobium sp. RNAcentral describes it as "partial 16S-23S ribosomal RNA intergenic spacer". The stretch from base 229 to 302 matches the Rfam family "tRNA". Lineage: Bacteria; Pseudomonadati; Pseudomonadota; Alphaproteobacteria; Hyphomicrobiales; Nitrobacteraceae. The record is from RNAcentral.